This 525-nucleotide unclassified non-coding RNA is filed under the name uncultured Pelagibacterales bacterium. Its description in RNAcentral is "partial 16S-23S ribosomal RNA intergenic spacer". The stretch from base 406 to 525 matches the Rfam family "Bacterial large subunit ribosomal RNA", at positions 1 to 121 of the family's 2925-position model. The record is from RNAcentral. Lineage: Bacteria; Pseudomonadati; Pseudomonadota; Alphaproteobacteria; Candidatus Pelagibacterales.
CCUCCUUUCUAAGGAAAUCGAAAAUAAUAUUUUCGAUUUAAAAAAACCGGUAAUGUGACCGUCCUCAUUUCUCUUCUUUUAAUGUCUCUGACUAAAAAUAAUGUAAGGGGCCGGUAGCUCAGGUGGUUAGAGCGCACCCCUGAUAAGGGUGAGGUCGGAAGUUCGAAUCUUCCUCGGCCCACCAAUAUUAUGGGGGAUUAGCUCAGCUGGGAGAGCGCCUGAUUUGCAUUCAGGAGGUCAGCGGUUCGAUCCCGCUAUCCUCCACCAAAAUUUGAGACAUUUAGCUUUUUUAAAUUGUGAAUAAUUUUAUUAUCAAUAUCUAUAUCCGAUUGUUUUCAUAUAUUUUUUUGAAAACAAUCAAAACAAAAAUUUGAAUUUUACACAGAAAGUUUUUUUCUGUGCAUAAAUCAAGCGUUUAAGGGCGAUUGGCGGAUGCCUUGGCACUGUAAGACGAUGAAGGACGUGGUAUACUGCGAUAAGUUUCGGGGAGUGGUAUGCAAGCUUUGAUCCGAAGAUUCCGAAUGG